This 253-nucleotide ribosomal RNA is filed under the name uncultured bacterium. Its description in RNAcentral is "partial 16S ribosomal RNA". It matches the Rfam family "Bacterial small subunit ribosomal RNA", at positions 524 to 776 of the family's 1533-position model. The record is from RNAcentral.
UACGUAGGGCGCAAGCGUUGUCCGGAAUUAUUGGGCGUAAAGAGCUCGUAGGCGGUCAGUCGCGUCUGCUGUGAAAACUCGGGGCUUAACUCCGGGCCUGCAGUGGGUACGGGCUGACUAGAGUGCGGUAGGGGAGACUGGAAUUCCUGGUGUAGCGGUGAAAUGCGCAGAUAUCAGGAGGAACACCGGUGGCGAAGGCGGGUCUCUGGGCCGUAACUGACGCUGAGGCACGAAGGCCAGGGGAGCAAACGGG